AGAGAAUACUUUGUUGAAAACCGUUUAUCAUUUUCUUCUGCUCCUCGUUGGGUUCGACACUCUUCUAUCGAAAGGACUACCAUAGAUCGCCUGUACUCACCGCCGCCUCCGAUCGCCGCCAUGCUCACCACCACCUCUCGCUGACAGGGCUUCGCCCGUACAUCUGGCACGAAGGGCAGGCGGAUCCGGCGGGGAGGUGUAGAAGGGCUCCCCGUCAUCCGUUCCCGCCGGCCACGUAGCUGGCCGAUCCGAAUCUGGUUGCUGACCUCAGGCACAGCGGUGUGGUGAGGCUAGAAGGAGGGACGGCAUCCUCAUAUCGUCGGGCAAGGUCUGCUUACCUCAGCCGAGCAGCGCUGUUGAUCUUCAUGGCGAGGCCCUCCCAGUCGGCGGUGAAGUAGCCGGAGCUGGACCGAGGUCGAGCGCGACAAGCUACUCGAGGCGUGCAGCUGUUUCUGUAGUUCAAGAUUAAAGGCAAGAAUCAGGCAAAUAUGAUUAUGAGAACAAGGCUAAUGAUGGAGAACCUUCAUCUACGGAAGCUGAGCAGUCUAUUGGGAAAACUAAGUUUCAAUGUGCAUCCUGAGUUUCAGCUACCUGAAAUCAAAGGCCAAUUUCAGUCGAUCCCGAAGUAAACUACCACAUAAGACAAGGAACAGGACACAGUUAUUUUCUGGAUUUCCAGAAGACAAGGACCAGGACCACAGCAAACAUCCUGAAUUUGAAGAAAAAAGUACUGAUGCAACCAUGGAAGGGGUGGAAGAUUAACUGUGGUCAUUUGGCGUAAAAUAUUUGACGAUGGUUUUUUCUCCCAAACUGGCAAGGUUCUACUUGGUACUGAUUGCCAUACCUACACUGUUGGAUCCUUUGCCCAACUUGCAACUGGAAACGUGAAACAGUGAUGCAGAUUUUGUGAUAGAUCUGGAAAGGCCUUUCGGAAGGUGUGCAAACAUGUAUCAUUGUUUCAUUGGAAAUGGUAUAACAAUGGAAAUAAUAUGUACGAACCAAUCUUUGCAACGAACAAUAGUGCAUAUAUUGAGUGUUGUGUCAUAUUAGCACCCUUUCCAUUCUGGUGCGAUAAAUAUAGGUUCUUAGCAUGUUUUUACUUUCUGUCAUGGACAUCUGUCUCUUUGUCAUAACGUAGUGAUAUGUCUUCAACGUAUCUAUAAUUUUUUAUUGUUCCAUGCUA
This is a long non-coding RNA of Aegilops tauschii subsp. strangulata, 1183 nucleotides long. RefSeq lists it as uncharacterized. The record is from RefSeq and is a predicted model, not a curated record. Lineage: Eukaryota; Viridiplantae; Streptophyta; Magnoliopsida; Poales; Poaceae.